GGUUUCUGGGCCCUCACCUGUCUAUUGUGUGGGUCCAGGUGGCUCUUUCCAAUCAAAGAAUAAAAUGAUUCUCCUGACUCAGGUGACUUAUCUGGGAGAAGCCAACAUUUUAAUGUCAAAGUAUAGGUUUACCUUCAGGUAGGGCCAGGACAAGGGUGCAAACUUUCAAGAGGUACAUACUCUUGGGUCUGGCAAAUCUCACUGUGGCAGCUGUUGACACCCAGUCACGCCUGUUCUUAAGAGCCUGGGUUCCACGGG
Molecule: long non-coding RNA, 258 nt
Filed under: Bos taurus (domestic cattle)
Lineage: Eukaryota; Metazoa; Chordata; Mammalia; Artiodactyla; Bovidae
Description: long non-coding RNA NONBTAT001896
Source: RNAcentral